Molecule: ribosomal RNA, 503 nt
Filed under: uncultured bacterium
Lineage: Bacteria
Description: bacterial SSU rRNA
Rfam family: Bacterial small subunit ribosomal RNA
Source: RNAcentral
GAUGAACGCUAGCUACAGGCUUAACACAUGCAAGUCGAGGGGAAACGAUAUUGGAAGCUUGCUUCCGAUAGGCGUCGACCGGCGCACGGGUGAGUAACGCGUAUCCAACCUGCCCAUCACUUGGGGAUAACCUUGCGAAAGUAAGACUAAUACCCAAUGACGUCUCUAGAAGACAUCUGAAGGAGAUUAAAGAUUUAUCGGUGAUGGAUGGGGAUGCGUCUGAUUAGCUUGUUGGCGGGGUAACGGCCCACCAAGGCGACGAUCAGUAGGGGUUCUGAGAGGAAGGCCCCCCACAUUGGAACUGAGACACGGUCCAAACUCCUACGGGAGGCAGCAGUGAGGAAUAUUGGUCAAUGGACGAGAGUCUGAACCAGCCAAGUAGCGUGCAGGAUGACGGCCCUAUGGGUUGUAAAACUGCUUUUUAUAAGGGAAUAAAAGUGAGUCUCGUGAGACUUUUUGCAUGUACCUUAUGAAUAAGGACCGGCUAAAUUCCGUGCCAGCAG